Molecule: ribosomal RNA, 942 nt
Filed under: uncultured archaeon
Lineage: Archaea
Description: bacterial SSU rRNA
Rfam family: Archaeal small subunit ribosomal RNA
Source: RNAcentral
UUCCGGUUGAUCCCGCCGGACCUUACUGCUAUCGGGGUGGGACUAAGACAUGCGAGUCGAGCGUCUCUAGCUAUGUUGAGACGCGGCAUACGGCUCAGUAACACGUGGCUAACCUACCCUCAGGACGGGGACAAACCCGGGAAACUGGGGCUAAUAUCCGAUAGGCGAGGAAUCCUGGAAUGGUUCUUCACCCAAAGGACAUUGGAAACAUGCUUUCUCUGUCGCCUGGGGAUGGGGCCGCGUCCGAUCAGGUUGUUGGUGAGGUAAUGGCUCACCAAGCCUUUAACCGGUACGGGCCGUGAGAGCGGUAGCCCGGAGAUGGGUACUGAGACAAGGACCCAGGCCCUACGGGGCGCGGCAGUCGCGAAAACUCCGCAAUGCACGAAAGUGUGACGGGGCUACCCCGAGUGCCGUCCGCUGAGGAUGGCUUUUCCUUGGUGUAACUAGCCGGGGGAAUAAGGAGAGGGCAAGACUGGUGUCAGCCGCCGCGGUAAUACCAGCUCUCCGAGUGGUAGGGAUGAUUAUUGGGCUUAAAGCGUCCGUAGCCGGCUUAGCAAGUUUCCUGUUAAAUUCAGCGACCUAAUCGUUGAGCCGCGGGAAAUACUACUAGGCUAGGAGGCGGGAGAGGUCGACGGUACUUCUGGGGUAGGGGUGAAAUCCUAUAAUCCCGGGAGGACCACCAGUGGCGAAGGCUGUCGACUAGAACGCGCUCGACGGUGAAGGACGAAAGCUGGGGGAGCGAACCGGAUUAGAUACCCGGGUAGUCCCAGCUGUAAACGAUGCGGGCUAGGUGUUGGGGUGGCUACGUGCCACUUCAGUGCCGCAGGGAAGCCAUUAAGCCCGCCGCCUGGGGAGUACGGCCGCAAGGCUGAAACUUAAAGGAAUUGGCGGGGGAGCACCACAAGGCGUGAAGCUUGCGGUUCAAUUGGAGUCAACGCCGGA